AGGGUUAUGAAAGCCAUAUUUUAAGAAA
RNAcentral lists this small RNA (28 nucleotides) under Bombyx mori (domestic silkworm). RNAcentral's name for it is "ovarian small RNA-12230". The record is from RNAcentral. Lineage: Eukaryota; Metazoa; Arthropoda; Insecta; Lepidoptera; Bombycidae.